This 254-nucleotide ribosomal RNA is filed under the name uncultured bacterium. Its description in RNAcentral is "partial 16S ribosomal RNA". It matches the Rfam family "Bacterial small subunit ribosomal RNA", at positions 524 to 776 of the family's 1533-position model. The record is from RNAcentral.
CACGUAGGGGGCAAGCGUUGUCCGGAUUUAUUGGGCGUAAAGAGCUCGUAGGCGGCUUAGUAAGUCGGGUGUGAAACCUCCAGGCUCAACCUGGAGACGCCACCCGAUACUGCUGUGGCUAGAGUCCGGUAGGGGAGCGUGGAAUUCCUGGUGUAGCGGUGAAAUGCGCAGAUAUCAGGAAGAACACCAAUGGCGAAAGCAGCUUUCUGGGACGGUACUGACGCUGAGACGCGAAAGCGUGGGGAGCGAACAGG